Long non-coding RNA from Oncorhynchus tshawytscha (Chinook salmon), 711 nucleotides. The record is from Ensembl. Lineage: Eukaryota; Metazoa; Chordata; Actinopteri; Salmoniformes; Salmonidae.
GGUAUUUUGCCCCCGGUGAUGCGUUGUGCAGACCUCACUACCCUCUGGAGAGCCUUACGGUUGUGGGCGGAGCAGUUGCCAUACCAGGCGGUGAUACAGCCCGAAAGGAUGCUCUCGAUUGUGCAUUUGUAAAAGUUUGUGAGUGUUUAUGGUGACAGGCGCUGUUGCUCCUUCUUCACCACACUAUCUAUGUGGGUGGACCAUUUCAGUUUGUCUGUGAUGUGUACGCCGAGGAACUUAAACAACUUUCCACCUUCUCCACUACUGUCCCAUCGUCAAUGUGGAUGGGUUGUGCUCCCUCUGCUGUUUCCUGAAGUUUCCAGUGUGAUUACACUUGCGUCGUCUGUGGACCUAUUGGGGCGAUCAGGCAACAGUUGAACCAAGCAACAUGUAUUUGAGCAAUGCCCUGGCCAUGUUACUUGUUAAACACUUCAACCAGAGGUUGGACUAUACAUCAGCUGAGGCCGGUGGUUCCUGGUCCCCUGGCGGAUGCCAUCCCCACGACACCCCUCCGGAGGCUUCCUUUAACCUCAAUUCAGAGGCCAGGUCUUAAAUAACGGGACCAGACCCGCUCGUGCAUGAUUUUUGGCGUACGACCUUCAGAUGGCAGAGACGGGUAUUUAGAUCCGGCUCGAAGGACCAAUUGUUACAGGGAUUAAAUUCCUAUAUGUUUUAAUACCCAAUUAAAAUUAAACACUCUGUCAAUUCCUA